UGGUAAUGCCGGAUGCUCCAGUUGAUCGCAUGGUCUUCUGGGAAAGCUUUCGCGGUAUGGGAUGGGGUCGCGUCCUAUCAGCUUGACGGCGGGGUAACGGCCCACCGUGGCUUCGACGGGUAGCCGGCCUGAGAGGGCGACCGGCCACAUUGGGACUGAGAUACGGCCCAGACUCCUACGGGAGGCAGCAGUGGGGAAUAUUGCACAAUGGGCGCAAGCCUGAUGCAGCGACGCCGCGUGAGGGAUGGAGGCCUUCGGGUUGUAAACCUCUUUUAUCGGGGAGCAAGCGAGAGUGAGUUUACCCGUUGAAUAAGCACCGGCUAACUACGUGCCAGCAGCCGCGGUAAUACGUAGGGUGCAAGCGUUAUCCGGAAUUAUUGGGCGUAAAGGGCUCGUAGGCGGUUCGUCGCGUCCGGUGUGAAAGUCCAUCGCUUAACGGUGGAUCCGCGCCGGGUACGGGCGGGCUUGAGUGCGGUAGGGGAGACUGGAAUUCCCGGUGUAACGGUGGAAUGUGUAGAUAUCG
This 523-nucleotide ribosomal RNA is filed under the name Bifidobacterium longum subsp. infantis. Its description in RNAcentral is "bacterial SSU rRNA". It matches the Rfam family "Bacterial small subunit ribosomal RNA", at positions 161 to 699 of the family's 1533-position model. RNAcentral also lists the same sequence under 2 other names. Lineage: Bacteria; Bacillati; Actinomycetota; Actinomycetes; Bifidobacteriales; Bifidobacteriaceae. The record is from RNAcentral.